RNAcentral lists this transfer-messenger RNA (361 nucleotides) under Thermodesulfobacteriaceae. RNAcentral describes it as "WYEG01 sp009903935 X2 Standard tmRNA". It matches the Rfam family "transfer-messenger RNA". Rfam says of the family: Bacterial tmRNA, also known as 10Sa RNA or SsrA, is named for its dual tRNA and mRNA-like properties. Its role is to liberate the mRNA from a stalled ribosome. To accomplish this part of the tmRNA is used as a reading frame that ends in a translation stop signal. RNAcentral also lists the same sequence under 1 other name. Lineage: Bacteria; Pseudomonadati; Thermodesulfobacteriota; Thermodesulfobacteria; Thermodesulfobacteriales. The record is from RNAcentral.
GGGGGCGAAAGGGCUCGACGGGGUAAGUAUAGGGUUAAACUGCAGGCCGUGGUUGCGCCCGCCACGUAAAAAAGGGUGCAAAAACACAACUGCCAACGAAUAUUCCUACGCUUUGGCAGCCUAAUCUGAUAGCUGCCACGUCCCUUAAGCUACUUGCCUGCGGUGCUUAAGGGGCGUGACCGAAGCAGGCUUUGGGUAUAAGCCUUGGUGGGAGGCUUAUACCCGAGAGAUAAUCCCACCUGGUAGAGAGCUUGGGUGCCUGUGACCGGCUCUCUACGAGAUGCAAACCACAGGCUAAGCCUGUAGGGGUUUAACCUGAGGCUUACCUCGGACGCGGGUUCGAUUCCCGCCGCCUCCACCA